GACGAACGCUGGCGGCGUGCUUAACACAUGCAAGUCGAACGGAGAACUUUCUUCGGAAUGUUCUUAGUGGCGAACGGGUGAGUAACGCGUAGGCAACCUGCCCUCUGGUUGGGGACAACAUUCCGAAAGGGAUGCUAAUACCGAAUAUGAUCCCCUCUCCGCAUGGAGAGGGGAUGAAAGAUGGCCUCUACUUGUAAGCUAUCGCCAGAAGAUGGGCCUGCGUCUGAUUAGCUAGUAGGUGGGGUAACGGCUCACCUAGGCGAUGAUCAGUAGCCGGUCUGAGAGGAUGAACGGCCACAUUGGGACUGAGACACGGCCCAAACUCCUACGGGAGGCAGCAGUGGGGAAUCUUCCGCAAUGGACGAAAGUCUGACGGAGCAACGCCGCGUGAGUGAUGAAGGCCUUCGGGUUGUAAAACUCUGUUGUCAGGGACGAACGUGCCGAUUUACAAUACACUUCAGCAGUGACGGUACCUGACGAGGAAGCCACGGCUAACUACGUG
Molecule: ribosomal RNA, 502 nt
Filed under: uncultured bacterium
Lineage: Bacteria
Description: bacterial SSU rRNA
Rfam family: Bacterial small subunit ribosomal RNA
Source: RNAcentral